Molecule: ribosomal RNA, 504 nt
Filed under: uncultured bacterium
Lineage: Bacteria
Description: partial 16S ribosomal RNA
Rfam family: Bacterial small subunit ribosomal RNA
Source: RNAcentral
ACUCAAAUGAAUUGACGGGGGCUCACACAAGCGGUGGAGGAUGUGGUUUAAUUCGAAGCAACGCGAAGAACCUUACCAGGUCUUGACAUUCCGGGAUUAAUUCUGUGAAAGCAGGAGGAUUGCCCUCAAGGUGUAACCGGAACAGGUGCUGCAUGGCUGUCGUCAGCUCGUGCCGUGAGGUGUUAGGUUAAGUCCUUUAACGAGCGAAACCCCUACGGUUAGUUACCAGCGCGUAAUGGCGGGGACUCUAGCCGGACUGCCGCGAAAGUAGGAGGAAGGUGGGGACGACGUCAAGUCAUCAUGGCCUUUAUGAUCUGGGCUACACACGUCCUACAAUGGGUGGUACAAAGGGUAGCGAAGCUGCAAAGCGGAGCCAAUCCUCGAAAGCCACCCUCAGUUCAGAUUGUGGGCUGCAAUUCGCCCACAUGAAGCUGGAAUCGCUAGUAAUCGCGGAUCAGCUACGCCGCGGUGAAUAUGUUCCUGAGCCUUGUACACACCGCCCGU